UAAAUGUGGAGUCUAGACCAAGUAUUGUGACAAUGAAGUGAAGUAGGAAGUUUUGGCUGAACUUGGUAGAAUAUUUAAGCUGUUUUCCCCCCUUACUUUGAGAUAAGCACAACAGAUGAUGUUACCAAAGGUUAACUAUUUCUUAAAUGUAGAUGGCAGAGGCAGCGCUGGUAAUUUUCAGGAUUUUAUAAUGAGGGGGGACAUGUCUUAAUGUUAUAGUGCGUAAGAUAUACAAAGCCAUCUGUCUGCAGUUAUUUGCAUAUGUGCAGAACGCCUGUCUUGAGGUAGGAAGUGAGAAUGUUCAAUCAGAAAGGUCCCUGUCGUUCACUUUCACAUUAACAAAGUACUGCAGUCGGGUUAUUUCUUUGUGCAGAGUAAAGCUAAUUAGAAAAAUGCCUAGGUUGUUUCAAAAGUAAUAAACACAAGAGAAAGUGAGACGUUUGUAUUAAGUGGAGAAAUGAGUCAUAAUUUUUAUUAAAUGAAGCUGUUAGAACAGUGUCCAAAGUUGUCCUGAAUCUUGUCAAUUUUUACAAGAAGUAAACCCCCCCCCC
Molecule: long non-coding RNA, 551 nt
Filed under: Bos taurus (domestic cattle)
Lineage: Eukaryota; Metazoa; Chordata; Mammalia; Artiodactyla; Bovidae
Description: long non-coding RNA NONBTAT013522
Source: RNAcentral